This 64-nucleotide transfer RNA is filed under the name Colus islandicus. RNAcentral describes it as "tRNA-Thr". Lineage: Eukaryota; Metazoa; Mollusca; Gastropoda; Neogastropoda; Colidae. The record is from RNAcentral.
UGACAAGAGACCUAAGGCUCACUUUUGGCUUACAAGACCAAUGCUCUCUUUAAGCUAUUAUCAC